AGUGAACGCUGGCGGUAGGCCUAACACAUGCAAGUCGAACGGCAGCACAGUAAGAGCUUGCUCUUACGGGUGGCGAGUGGCGGACGGGUGAGGAAUACAUCGGAAUCUACUUUUUCGUGGGGGAUAACGUAGGGAAACUUACGCUAAUACCGCAUACGACCUACGGGUGAAAGCAGGGGAUCUUCGGACCUUGAGCGAUUGAAUGAGCCGAUGUCGGAUUAGCUAGUUGGCGGGGUAAAGGCCCACCAAGGCGACGAUCCGUAGCUGGUCUGAGAGGAUGAUCAGCCACACUGGAACUGAGACACGGUCCAGGCUCCUACGGGAGGCAGCAGUGGGGAAUAUUGGACAAUGGGCGCAAGCCUGAUCCAGCCAUACCGCGUGGGUGAAGAAGGCCUUCGGGUUGUAAAGCCCUUUUGUUGGGAAAGAAAAGCAGCAGGUUAAUACCCCGCUGUUCUGACGGUACCCAAAGAAUAAGCACCGGCUAACUUCGUG
RNAcentral lists this ribosomal RNA (492 nucleotides) under uncultured bacterium. RNAcentral describes it as "partial 16S ribosomal RNA". It matches the Rfam family "Bacterial small subunit ribosomal RNA", at positions 29 to 507 of the family's 1533-position model. The record is from RNAcentral.